AUUUGAGGUUCUCUCGAAGGUGGGCYGGAUACCAAUGGAUGGGGAGGCAAUUGCCAUGAGAUUGCCUGUGAGCGCACACUUACGGACUGGGCCUUGCAGGGACUCUUCCUCAGACUGGYCUUCAGUAACUGGUCUCGUCCUUCCACAGUGGCUGAAGAGCUGUGGAACUUCAGGCAUUGAAAUACUGUGCUGCUGAAAACUUUGGCAAAAAGAAGCUUAGGGACUUUUCCAAAGACUUAAUAGGUCCACAUUCUUAGACUUAGUUGUCUAAGCUCCAUAUCCAAAUAUGUUUCUAAGUCUAACUACCAUUGAAAAUUUUGACCCAGAUAUUUCUUUGCUUGCUGGGUGGCAUAUUCCAUUUCUUUUCUGUUCCCGCUCUAUAAUUCUUCAGGGUGAAAAUAGAAUCAGUAGA
Nothoprocta perdicaria is the source of this 412-nucleotide long non-coding RNA. RefSeq lists it as uncharacterized. The record is from RefSeq and is a predicted model, not a curated record. Lineage: Eukaryota; Metazoa; Chordata; Aves; Tinamiformes; Tinamidae. The transcript is spliced from 2 exons.